RNAcentral lists this unclassified non-coding RNA (336 nucleotides) under soil metagenome. Its description in RNAcentral is "partial contains 5.8S ribosomal RNA, internal transcribed spacer 2, and large subunit ribosomal RNA". The stretch from base 1 to 120 matches the Rfam family "5.8S ribosomal RNA", at positions 35 to 154 of the family's 154-position model. The record is from RNAcentral.
GAUGAAGAACGUAGCGAAAUGCGAUAAGUAGUGUGAAUUGCAGAAUUCAGUGAAUCAUCGAAUCUUUGAACGCACAUUGCGCCCCUUGGUAUUCCAUGGGGCAUGCCUGUUCGAGCGUCAUUUGUACCUUCAAGCUCUGCUUGGUGUUGGGUGUUUGUCUCGCCUCUGCGUGUAGACUCGCCUUAAAACAAUUGGCAGCCGGCGUAUUGAUUUCGGAGCGCAGUACAUCUCGCGCUUUGCACUCAUAACGACGACGUCCAAAAGUACAUUUUUACACUCUUGACCUCGGAUCAGGUAGGGAUACCCGCUGAACUUAAGCAUAUCAAUAACGGAGGA